RNAcentral lists this ribosomal RNA (253 nucleotides) under uncultured bacterium. RNAcentral describes it as "partial 16S ribosomal RNA". It matches the Rfam family "Bacterial small subunit ribosomal RNA", at positions 524 to 776 of the family's 1533-position model. The record is from RNAcentral.
UACAGAGGGUGCAAGCGUUAAUCGGAAUUACUGGGCGUAAAGCGUGCGUAGACGGUUAUGUAAGUCAGAUGUGAAAGCCCCGGGCUCAACCUGGGAAUUGCAUUUGAGACUGCAUAGCUAGGGUGCGGAAGAGGGAAGCGGAAUUUCCGGUGUAGCGGUGAAAUGCGUAGAUAUCAGGAGGAACACCUGUGGCGAAAGCGGCUCACUGGACCAUAACUGACGCUGAUGCACGAAAGCUAGGGGAGCAAACAGG